Gadus macrocephalus (Pacific cod) is the source of this 372-nucleotide long non-coding RNA. RefSeq lists it as uncharacterized. The transcript has 2 exons. The record is from RefSeq and is a predicted model, not a curated record. Lineage: Eukaryota; Metazoa; Chordata; Actinopteri; Gadiformes; Gadidae.
GGAUGGUGAAGUCUGGUAUUGUUAGUGAUGAUAUGAAGUAUGAUGAUUCAGAUGCAGAAAUUUGGAAUCCCGUGACCAGUAGGAAAAAAAAUAGAACAAGAAGGUGUUCUGAGAUGAGUGACAGUGACAGAGAAAAGCAGAAUGAGUCGAAAAAAGCAAGGAGGAAGGAGGAAGGAGAAGUGUGGAAAGUGAUUGUGGAAUCAGCAUGAAAAGAUUUUGAAAAUGAGUACACUGAACGAAGUGAGAAUCAAAAGUCAUAUCCCUGGUAUAAAUCGUAAGAUACGUGGAGUGAUAACCGGAGUGCCAAUAGACUUAAGUAUUGAAGAACUGCAGAAAGAAAUCAAGGGAGCCAAAGUGACUGUUGAAAAAAGG